Molecule: transfer RNA, 80 nt
Filed under: Lanceolaria lanceolata
Lineage: Eukaryota; Metazoa; Mollusca; Bivalvia; Unionida; Unionidae
Description: tRNA-Gln
Source: RNAcentral
UACUUCUGAGGGUUAGUGAACUCUUCGUAGACACGUAUAAAUUUGAAUUAUAAAAGGGAAAUAAUUACUUCCACCCCCAA